RNAcentral lists this ribosomal RNA (469 nucleotides) under uncultured Acidobacteriota bacterium. RNAcentral describes it as "uncultured Acidobacteria bacterium partial 16S ribosomal RNA". The record is from RNAcentral. Lineage: Bacteria; Pseudomonadati; Acidobacteriota.
UUGUUACGACUUCACCCCAAUCAUGAGUCAUACCUUGGGCGUCUACUCCCUUUCCCGGUUAGCACGACGACUUCUAGUAUCACCCACUUUCGUGAUGUGACGGGCGGUGUGUACAAGGCCCGGGAACGUAUUCACCGCAGCGUUCUGAUCUGCGAUUACUAGCGAUUCCAGCUUCAUGGAGUCGGGUUGCAGACUCCAAUCCGAACUGAGGCCGGCUUUUUCCGAUUAGCUCCCCCUCGCGGGUUUGCAACGGUUUGUACCGACCAUUGUAGCACGUGUGUAGCCCUGGACAUAAAGGCCAUGAGGACUUGACGUCAUCCCCACCUUCCUCCCCGUUAUCCGAGGCGGUUUCGCUAAAGUGCCCAGCUUGACCUGAUGGCAACUAACGAUAAGGGUUGCGCUCGUUGCGGGACUUAUCCCAACAUCUCACGACAAUAACUGACAACAGCUAUGCAGCACUUCCACAGCA